Anthonomus grandis grandis is the source of this 1297-nucleotide long non-coding RNA. RefSeq lists it as uncharacterized. The record is from RefSeq and is a predicted model, not a curated record. The transcript has 3 exons. NCBI's taxonomy places the organism in Eukaryota, Metazoa, Arthropoda, Insecta, Coleoptera, Curculionidae.
ACGGAGUCCGGGAAUGUGGCUUUUCCUACGAGGUCUACAUACUAUUUUUCCGAAAAUCGGGAAUCAUUAAAAUUACGGUAAAUUAUUACUAAUCAUGUUAAAAAUUUCAAAUCAACAUUAUUAUUUUUCCCUUAAAUAAAAGAAGCCAUAAAACAUUAUUUCGUAACUACGGAAACGAAGUACAUAAUUUUAAAUUGUCAAACUUGACGAGUGAAAAGUUUAUUUGUGGCGUCUUUCCAAAGUGUUGAUUUUUUAACGUUUUAAAAAGCCAAAAUAACGUGUAAAAUGAUGAGUGAUGAUGACUGUUCCAUUUCUGGAACCCCCCCAGAACUCACGGAGGCAGUGAAUGCUGUAUCAUUGGAAUUGUUACCAGUAAAAUCUAGAAGUAAGUAUAACUAUGCAUACAACCGCUUCAUGGACUAUCGUACGAAUAAAAAUGUAACUUCUUUCUUGGAAAAUGUUGUAAUGGCAUACUUCUUGGAGCUUGGUUCCAAGAUGAGAUAUUCAACUUUAUGGGCCAAUUAUUCAAUGCUGAAGGCAACCCUUGAAAUUAGACAUGACGUGGAUAUAUCUAAAUAUUCAAAACUUCGGCAUUCCUGAAACGGCAAGCACAUGCCUAUAAGCCAAAAAAAUCCAAGAUUUUAACUAAAGAAGAAGUAAACAAAUUUAUUCAGGAAGCUUCAGAUAAGGAAUAUUUAAUGAUUAAGGUAGCUGUAAUAUUUGGAAUUUCCGGAGCUUGCAGAAUGGACGAGCUGGUUAAAAUGACUGUACAAGAUAUACAAGACCUACUAUCUAAACUUUUAGUUACCAUACCGGAUUCAAAAACCAAUAUAUCAAGAUCAUUUAUAGUAAACGAAAUGUACUUAAAUCUAUACCGCAAUACCAAAAUCAAAAAGUAUUAGGAAUUCACCAAUUUAGAAACAUGCCUAAAAUAGUGGCCAGUUGUUUGAAUUUGCCAAAUUCGAAAGAAUAUACCGACCACUGUUUUCGUCGGUCUUCUGCCACAAUGCUUGUUGAUUCUGGUGGAGAUAUUUCUAGUUUAAAGAGACUGGGUGGAUGGAAAUCAACAAACGUCGCUGAAGGAUAUAUAGAAGAGUCUCUUACUAAUAAGGAAGAAGUGGCAAAUAAAAUGUUCACAGCAGAAAAAAAUCAAGAAAGUAAAUCUAAUAUUACUAAUACUGCAGUAACACCCAAUAUUAGUUAUUGUCAUACAAAUAAAAUUAUUAGUUUGGAAAAUAUUAAAUAAAAUAAUGCUAUUAGUUCCCAAGUUCUUCCAGUUUUCAAUACUUGUACUAAU